This 306-nucleotide long non-coding RNA is filed under the name Trifolium pratense (red clover). RNAcentral describes it as "long non-coding RNA (TPRA_LNC005632)". The record is from RNAcentral. Lineage: Eukaryota; Viridiplantae; Streptophyta; Magnoliopsida; Fabales; Fabaceae.
GUCAUUUUUAAGUUAUAUGUAUUUCUUCCAGUGGUGAAGUUUUUGUGUUUCUGUAUCCGUAACUUCAGAUUUACUCCGUGGUUUUGCACACAACUUCUGGAGUAACUCUUACCUUCCUAACGAUUUAGGAAUUUUGGACAACUUGGUUAUGGAGAGAUGAUAUUCUUCUACAGUUAUUUGUUGGCUAUGUUAAUUUUACUUCAUUGUUUCUCUGUUGAUUCUUGUUGUUUACUCUCUCGAUUUACAGGAGAGAAAUAAAUGAAUGUGCAACUAUGGCGGUGAUUAUAAUUGGUUGGGGGUUUGCUU